GGCCAAGAGCUUGGGCACUGGACUUGCCCGCUGCGUCCAGGGAAGAGGCAGCCUGGCCAGAGGUGGGCCACUCUGGGGGCCAGGGUACAUGACCACCCAAUUGAGCAGAGGCUUUGGUCGGGGAGCUGCUGUCCCCAGUCCCCCUACCUGCCCCCACCCUCCCACUCCAUACCACCCUCCCCUUUCUGGUGUCCCCAGGCCCCUGACCCCGCCUGAUCCUCGUGGCUGGUGGACAUCACCAGAAGGGCCUCAGCUCUUUUAUCCAGCAGCUCCACCUCCCGCAGGCUGGAGCCCUUCCCUGUGUGAGACUGUAGUUCCGAGGAGGCUGCAGUCCCCCCAUGAAA
RNAcentral lists this long non-coding RNA (344 nucleotides) under Homo sapiens (human). Its description in RNAcentral is "non-protein coding lnc-KCNJ1-1:1". The record is from RNAcentral. Lineage: Eukaryota; Metazoa; Chordata; Mammalia; Primates; Hominidae.